RNAcentral lists this ribosomal RNA (508 nucleotides) under Staphylococcus aureus. Its description in RNAcentral is "bacterial SSU rRNA". It matches the Rfam family "Bacterial small subunit ribosomal RNA", at positions 1 to 494 of the family's 1533-position model. Lineage: Bacteria; Bacillati; Bacillota; Bacilli; Caryophanales; Staphylococcaceae. The record is from RNAcentral.
UUAAUGAGAGUUUGAUCCUGGCUCAGGACGAACGCUGGCGGCGUGCCUAAUACAUGCAAGUAGAACGCUGAAGGAGGAGCUUGCUUCUCUGGAUGAGUUGCGAACGGGUGAGUAACGCGUAGGUAACCUGCCUGGUAGCGGGGGAUAACUAUUGGAAACGAUAGCUAAUACCGCAUAAGAGUGGAUGUUGCAUGACAUUUGCUUAAAAGGUGCACUUGCAUCACUACCAGAUGGACCUGCGUUGUAUUAGCUAGUUGGUGGGGUAACGGCUCACCAAGGCGACGAUACAUAGCCGACCUGAGAGGGUGAUCGGCCACACUGGGACUGAGACACGGCCCAGACUCCUACGGGAGGCAGCAGUAGGGAAUCUUCGGCAAUGGACGGAAGUCUGACCGAGCAACGCCGCGUGAGUGAAGAAGGUUUUCGGAUCGUAAAGCUCUGUUGUAAGAGAAGAACGAGUGUGAGAGUGGAAAGUUCACACUGUGACGGUAUCUUACCAGAAAGGGAC